Molecule: ribosomal RNA, 253 nt
Filed under: uncultured bacterium
Lineage: Bacteria
Description: partial 16S ribosomal RNA
Rfam family: Bacterial small subunit ribosomal RNA
Source: RNAcentral
UACGGAGGGUGCAAACGUUGUCCGGAAUCACUGGGCGUAAAGCGCAUGUAGGUGGUUUGUUAAGUGAGUGAUUAAAGACCGACGCCUAACGUCGGGAAGGUUGCUCAUACUGGCAGACUUGAGUAUGGCAGGGGUAAGCGGAACUUUAGGUGUAGGAGUGAAAUCCGUAGAUAUCUAAAGGAACACCAAUGGCGAAGGCAGCUUACUGGGCCAUCACUGACACUGAGAUGCGAAAGUGUGGGGAGCAAACGGG